UACAGAGGGUGCAAGCGUUAAUCGGAAUUACUGGGCGUAAAGGGUGCGUAGGUGGUUAUAUCAGUCAAAUGUGAAAGGCUUGGGCUUAACCUGAGAACUGCGUUUGAUACUGUAUAGCUAGAGUAUUGUAGAGGAAAGUGGAAUUUCCGGUGUAGCGGUGAAAUGCGUAGAUAUCGAUAGGAACUCCGGUGGCGAAGGCGGCAUACUGGACCACCACUGACGCUGAUGCGCGAAAGCCAGGGGAGCAAACGGG
Molecule: ribosomal RNA, 253 nt
Filed under: uncultured bacterium
Lineage: Bacteria
Description: partial 16S ribosomal RNA
Rfam family: Bacterial small subunit ribosomal RNA
Source: RNAcentral